UCUUAGAAAUCCAUACUUUAUAUGACGUAAAAUAUAACUCGAUAUAACUUCCAAAGUGCCACUACCCCACUUAUAGCGAAUCGCUCUCUCUCGGCCACAAAAAAAUAGUGGUUUUACUUCACAUUUGGUGAGUUUUGUCAUUACUUUGAAUGAAGUUGACCAUUUUACUUCGAAUCAAGUGAGGUUUACUUUAAACCGCAUAAC
Long non-coding RNA from Folsomia candida, 204 nucleotides. RefSeq lists it as uncharacterized. The record is from RefSeq and is a predicted model, not a curated record. NCBI's taxonomy places the organism in Eukaryota, Metazoa, Arthropoda, Collembola, Entomobryomorpha, Isotomidae. The transcript is spliced from 2 exons.